AAACACAUGGGUUCUUCCUUGUCCCUGUAAAUUCAUGUUUGAACAUUUGCUAAUAAUUCAAUUUGUUAAAUGGAAUCAUAUUGAAACUUGAUAGAUGGUUGUAGCGCUUGGAACUUGAAAACUUCUUCAAAGGACCCAGAGAAAUAAGUCAUAAUCAUAGAUUUUGUUCAUACCUAAUACCUAGGGCAUGCAUCAGAAUGACAUCUCAUGUUGCAUCAUGGUCUUUUGCCCACUUAUGAGCUUCCAUGUACGGAUCCUUUCUGAAACCUUAAUAUAGCCUUGUUUUUGCUGACAUGGUCAGAAAU
Molecule: unclassified non-coding RNA, 305 nt
Filed under: Hevea brasiliensis (rubber tree)
Lineage: Eukaryota; Viridiplantae; Streptophyta; Magnoliopsida; Malpighiales; Euphorbiaceae
Source: RNAcentral